Anguilla rostrata (American eel) is the source of this 2263-nucleotide long non-coding RNA. RefSeq lists it as uncharacterized. The record is from RefSeq and is a predicted model, not a curated record. NCBI's taxonomy places the organism in Eukaryota, Metazoa, Chordata, Actinopteri, Anguilliformes, Anguillidae. The transcript is spliced from 2 exons.
AUUACUCCCAAGAGAUAAUGCUUCCACGUUGAGCAGUCUGAAGUUACAAACUACAAAACUAGAGGGAUGGAACAGUCUUGAGUAUUGAACCUGAGACAUUGGACAUCAGGAGUUACGAAGACAUUUUGCAAGUUUCCACAAGAUUUGACUUUUCCUCACGUCGUAGUCUGCUUGUAAGAAUCGACACGUAAACACGAAACAUCUCAUUCUAAAAUGCUUAAUUAGUUAGUUCAUCAUUUGUAUUCCUGUUCGAAGCAAUGGCCUAUUGGUGCUUCCUAAAAUAUAAACUGUAUGAGACACGCUGUGUCCUCUUGCUUUGCACAUUUGCUCAUGAGAUUAGAAAAGGCGAUUCAGAAAGUAGGCUACAAUUAUAGCCGUUUUCAUUUCACAAUUGACAAACAAAUCUAGAAAUUAAGAUUCCCAUUUUAAUAAUCAUUGGUCUUGCUUUUGUCCCCUUAAUAAAUAUGUUCUUCGCUAUCGCCUUAUUUUAAACCAUACACUUCUGGGAGUUGAAGGCCUAUAGUUGUAUUGGAUUGCAUUUCAAUCAGCACUGAUUAGAACAAUCCCGCAUACGCACAUCCCCCAGAAACAUUCCGUCAAAGGAAUGGACAAACAUGGGCCUAUACACAGAGUAGGCUACUAACGCCAAUCCAAAACUAAUCAUAAUCAACACAAAAACAACAGCAAUAAUAAUAAUAGGCUACAUGGAAACAACGUUUUUAUCGAAAUAGGUUUCUCGUUUUAUUCUCCUCUUCAACAUUUGAGCUCUAUUCUGUCUAAUCAAGCGCUUUCACACUUGUUGGCAGCAACGACCGUGCAGCAUAUAACUGUCAAAAUAACAGCGCAUCUACUCUCCAAGCAGUGGAUGUUCCAGCGUACUCGCGCUAGUUUACUGAAGCCACAAGCUGUCUCGGCUCGGCUGUUUUGCGGUCCUAAUGUUUGAGUAGAAUAUGGGAGCAUGUCGGUGUCGGAUUGUUACAGAGCAUGGUGCACACGUUUAAUUAUAUAUGCGUUCUGAAAAUGCUAUUUUAAAGAAAGACCUCUAAGAAAAAAAAUGUAGGUAGUAGAUUUUUUUUACAUAGCUAUAACUAGUGCUGUACCCGGAAGCUUGGUUUUUUAUUUUGUCACAUGGCUAAGGGAUUUCAAUAACAACAAAAAAUGGCGACAAUCACGUUGUUCAAUGUGGUCUUGCUGCGUCAUUAAAAACAUUCAUGUAAACAGGGAGAAGAAACAGAAAAUCUGCGGGUCUGCUGACCUGUCAUGAAGAUGGAUGGUACGAGAAGCUGGUGUUGAGUUGCCAAAUUGCAGAGGAGCUGAAGCACUGCUUGAUGUGACAGGCUGCCCUGGUUCAGUUAUCACAGUGCUGAUGCUGUCCAUCUUAAAGGUACAGUACUGUGAUAACUGAAGGAUGGCAGCCAUCUUGACAGCACAGGUGCUUGUAUCCUAGACCUCUCUGGUAAAAUGUCAAAAUAUGGGAAAGGUUCUUUUUUUCAACUUCUACAGUGAUAGGUGUGUAAGGUCCCUACAGGCAUAUCUGCAAAAGCACAAAACCAUUCUGUCAUAACUGUCAAAUACAUUUAGUGUUUUGUUACUUAUGUUUUUUAUUACAUUUAUUUCAGUUUAAAAUAAACAAAGUUGCAAUGUAAUAUGUGCUCAAACUUGUCAUUGAAAUGUAUGGCCAGUACAUUUUAUUAUAUGACUGUGUGAUUCCACUGUUGUAAAAUGUCUGCCUAUUAAAAGCCGCUAUACUGAAAAAUAUCCUUCCUGUAUUCUCUCAUCAUGUGACAAUUAUAAAUGCAUAAAAAAGCAGAGGGCAGGUAAUUCUGUAUUUUUUAUGAAUAAAACUCAUUUCUUAUAAAAUACUUUUAUUAGACAAUGAAAUAUAAGACAAAAUAUUCUAGAGACUCCACCAGAGGGGAAAAAUAUUAUGUGGGACUUGGUUAAAAUAAAUGAAUGGGGUCCAUUUUAAUUGUGAUUCACUGCCAAAUCCUGAGACAGGCAUUUUAUUGCAGUUACCUGAGAACAGUUGUUUGCACAAGCAUUUUGAGUGUCUUGUCACUUAUGCUUCAGUCUUACUAUGUUGGUUACAUUGGGAUCCUCUUGUAUAAACCAAAUGAUGUGUAGAGCAUUCAAUUCUCUGGCUCAGAUUUGCAAAUUGCAAUGUUUUUCUGAUUUCCAACAGAGCUACCUCUUCAUUCCCAAUUAUUUUAGAAGAAAAACAGAAUAUUUAUCUACAGAAAAAAUAAAAUGAUAUUGUAUACUC